Molecule: microRNA precursor, 86 nt
Filed under: Chlorocebus sabaeus (green monkey)
Lineage: Eukaryota; Metazoa; Chordata; Mammalia; Primates; Cercopithecidae
Description: miRNA (ENSCSAG00000021065.1)
Source: RNAcentral
AGUGAAACUCUGUCUCAAAAAAAAAAAAGACAGUGAAAAAGCAAAUCACAUUUUAAGUUUUUGUUUGUUUUUUGAGAUGGAGUCUU